Centropristis striata (black sea bass) is the source of this 310-nucleotide long non-coding RNA. RefSeq lists it as uncharacterized. NCBI's taxonomy places the organism in Eukaryota, Metazoa, Chordata, Actinopteri, Perciformes, Serranidae. The transcript is spliced from 3 exons. The record is from RefSeq and is a predicted model, not a curated record.
CCUGGCUCGUUAGGCCGCGGCCCGGCAAAUGGCUCACUAAUGUAACACUGCUUCCUGGUCUAAUGGAGCCCUGUUUUGCAGAAUUAUUUGUCUUUGCUCUCCGCGGGAAGCCAGGGGGGCCACCAACAGCGAGGAGGAGAGGAGGAGGAAAGAACGGUGUGGCCCCUCUUGUUCUCCUUGCCGUACUCCAUCGAGGUCACAUCUGUCUCUCUGGCCCCGUGCACCACACCAGGUUGGUACGUACGUGUUGUUUCUGCAGUGCGUUCUGUGUGGGACGGUGAACUGGACACACUGCUGCUGUGAUUGGAUG